RNAcentral lists this ribosomal RNA (465 nucleotides) under Vreelandella stevensii. RNAcentral describes it as "partial 16S ribosomal RNA". It matches the Rfam family "Bacterial small subunit ribosomal RNA", at positions 338 to 795 of the family's 1533-position model. Lineage: Bacteria; Pseudomonadati; Pseudomonadota; Gammaproteobacteria; Oceanospirillales; Halomonadaceae. The record is from RNAcentral.
CCUACGGGUGGCUGCAGUGGGGAAUAUUGGACAAUGGGCGAAAGCCUGAUCCAGCCAUGCCGCGUGUGUGAAGAAGGCCUUCGGGUUGUAAAGCACUUUCAGUGGGGAAGAAAGCCUUGGGGCUAAUACCCUCGAGGAAGGACAUCACCCACAGAAGAAGCACCGGCUAACUCCGUGCCAGCAGCCGCGGUAAUACGGAGGGUGCGAGCGUUAAUCGGAAUUACUGGGCGUAAAGCGCGCGUAGGCGGUCUGAUAAGCCGGUUGUGAAAGCCCCGGGCUCAACCUGGGAACGGCAUCCGGAACUGUCAGGCUAGAGUGCAGGAGAGGAAGGUAGAAUUCCCGGUGUAGCGGUGAAAUGCGUAGAGAUCGGGAGGAAUACCAGUGGCGAAGGCGGCCUUCUGGACUGACACUGACGCUGAUGUGCGAAAGCGUGGGUAGCAAACAGGAUUAGAUACCCUGGUAGUC